UACGUAGGGUGCGAGCGUUGUCCGGAAUUAUUGGGCGUAAAGGGCUCGUAGGCGGUUUGUCGCGUCGGGAGUGAAAACCAGGUGCUUAACACCUGGCUUGCUUUCGAUACGGGCAGACUAGAGGUAUGCAGGGGAGAACGGAAUUCCUGGUGUAGCGGUGAAAUGCGCAGAUAUCAGGAGGAACACCGGUGGCGAAGGCGGGUCUCUGGGCCGAUACUGACGCUGAGGAGCGAAAGCGUGGGGAGCAAACAGG
This 253-nucleotide ribosomal RNA is filed under the name uncultured bacterium. Its description in RNAcentral is "partial 16S ribosomal RNA". It matches the Rfam family "Bacterial small subunit ribosomal RNA", at positions 524 to 776 of the family's 1533-position model. The record is from RNAcentral.